GCUGGAGAGAGUGUUGACAUUUAUUAUCCGUUUCGAGGAAUUAUCUGUUGACUAAGUGAUAUUUCGAGGCAUAUUGGAGUUGUGAACACCAGUCAUCAUGAGUAAUGCUAUCCAGAGGAAAAGACGAUCA
Rhinichthys klamathensis goyatoka is the source of this 130-nucleotide long non-coding RNA. RefSeq lists it as uncharacterized. The transcript has 3 exons. Lineage: Eukaryota; Metazoa; Chordata; Actinopteri; Cypriniformes; Leuciscidae. The record is from RefSeq and is a predicted model, not a curated record.